RNAcentral lists this non-coding RNA (30 nucleotides) under Mus musculus (house mouse). The record is from RNAcentral. Lineage: Eukaryota; Metazoa; Chordata; Mammalia; Rodentia; Muridae.
UNCAGUGUUAAGUCAGGGCUGUAGAUUAAU